GGGAGAAUUAAGGGUGAUUUACCCUGAUUUGGUUGUUGACAAAUGCAUGAUAGUCCCUCAGAGGAUCAGAGAGAAGAUCAGUAAGGAGUGGGGGGCACCUCAAUUACAUCUGCCAAGUGCUGAUGAGAAGAAAAAAUGCACUCUAUUAGUGGUGGAUCAGUCGUCAGAAACCCUCUCGCUCUUACUGGAGACACUGGUUACUGGCUGACAUUAAGGGGGAAGCUCUAGAGAGAGGAGAUGUCAGCGGUGUUGAACUAUCCACAUACACCCGUCCCACUCCACCCCAAGGCACUGGACUCCACCGCUACCAGUUCCUUGUAUUUGAGCAGCCUGAAGGCCAGAGCUUGUCCCUCAGCCCAAAGAAGAAGAUCUCACUGGGUAACUGGGAUCUGCAGGCAUUUGUUGAAAACGUCUGGUCUGGCUAGACCAGUGGCGUCACACCAGUUCCUCACCCAAAACCACAAGGACUAGAAGACACCUCCAACCUGCAACUCACUUUGACCUCUGGCUUUCACACACUCUAUGGCUUGUUUUUCUCCCUAUAUCCGGAAUGAAUGUAUUGCACCUUAGUAUUUAGAUGAAUGUUAAACUCUUGUCUGAAUUAUAACUUGUAUUAAUGUGUUUGAUGUAAUGUCACAUAUCUCAUAUUAGUGGUUAAACGGAUCGUAGUUGAUCCGUGAUCAAUACGGACCAAGCCCCACGGUUCGGCACGCAUGUGAUCCGUGGAUUAAUUGCAAAAUUUUACCAUAAUAGAGUAUAACUUUAUAAUUUGUUCGUAUUUACACACACAAGCGAAUUUUAAACAAUUCCAGAAGCGAAGCGCGAAACACGAACACCGAACUAAAUCCUCUUCUGAAUCCUCUGAACAAACACAUACACAUAAAAUAAUGACAAAACACCCAUCUCGACAAUCAUUCAGGUAAACGCAGUCAGUUAUGUCUGAAGUGAAUGAAAACAGCUGAGAAAGAAAUCAGAUGUGAUGUGUAUCAUUAUAUCAGAUCUGUGCAUCAGGUCUUAAAGGGACAGCGGCCUAUAAAUACUGCUGCUGUCAUUAAUGAUCAUCAAACAACAAAACAGCUGUGAUAAAAAUCUAUAUUUAAUUUAUACAAUGAACACUAUGCAGAAUUACAUUACAUUUCUGUAUUUGAAUACUACCAACCUUAUUUUAUAUGUAACAUAUUCUGUUGUAUUUAUCUAUGAUUGCAAUUUGUGUAUUUGUUCUUAUUUUUACUGGCUGUUUUGUUGUCUCUUAAAUCAUGUUUAAACUUUCUUAGUUAAUCUAGUAGUAUUUGCUGUGCUAUCAAAGAAGUACUUCGCUUUAAGUAAUAAAUGUAAAGCAAGUUAAAUUGAAAUAUUUUAU
Long non-coding RNA from Cyprinus carpio (common carp), 1360 nucleotides. NCBI's taxonomy places the organism in Eukaryota, Metazoa, Chordata, Actinopteri, Cypriniformes, Cyprinidae. The record is from Ensembl.